Molecule: ribosomal RNA, 769 nt
Filed under: uncultured marine archaeon
Lineage: Archaea
Description: bacterial SSU rRNA
Rfam family: Archaeal small subunit ribosomal RNA
Source: RNAcentral
GCGCCGAAUUGGUUUGAUCAAGCCCAUGCAAGUCAUUUGUAGUAAUACAAGGCAGACGGCUCAGUAACGCGUACUCCUUUUAACCUAUGGACGGGAAUAACCUCGGGAAACUGAGUACCCUGUCCGAUAGAACAUUAUGCCUGGAAUGGUUUAUGUUCUAAAUGAUUUAUCGCCGUAGGAUGGGACUGCGGCCUAUCAGUUUGUUGGUGAGGUAAUGGCCCACCAAGACUAUUACAGGUACGGGCUCUGAGAGGAGUAGCCCGGAGAUGGGUACUGAGACACGGACCCAGGCCCUAUGGGGCGCAGCAGGCGAGAAAACUCUGCAAUGUGCGAAAGCACGACUAGGUUAAUCCGAGUGGUUUCUGCUAAAGGAACCUUUUGUCGGUCCUAGAAACACCGAUGAAUAAGGGGUGGGCAAGUUCUGGUGUCAGCCGCCGCGGUAAAACCAGCACCUCAAGUGGUCAGGAUGAUUAUUGGGCCUAAAGCGUCCGUAGCCGGCUCUAUAAGUUUUCGGUUUAAUCUGUAUGCUCAACAUACAGGCUGCCGGGAAUACUGCUGAGCUAGGGAGUGGGAGAGGUUGACAGUACUCUUUACGAAGGGGUAAAAUCGUUUGAUCCUUUGAUGACCACUUGUGGCCAAGGGGGUCUACUAUAACACUGUUUAAGGUGGAGGGAUGAAAGCUGGGGGGAGCAAACUGGAUUAAAUUACCUCGGUAGUCCCAGCAUGAAAAUUAUUGUAAACAUAGUGAAGACAUUGUCUUGGGGACAAA